This 114-nucleotide non-coding RNA is filed under the name Mucilaginibacter sp. RNAcentral's name for it is "SAM-I sequence". It matches the Rfam family "SAM riboswitch aptamer (S box leader)". From Rfam's summary of the family: The SAM riboswitch is found upstream of a number of genes which code for proteins involved in methionine or cysteine biosynthesis in Gram-positive bacteria. The SAM riboswitch acts at the level of transcription termination control. The record is from RNAcentral. Lineage: Bacteria; Pseudomonadati; Bacteroidota; Sphingobacteriia; Sphingobacteriales; Sphingobacteriaceae. RNAcentral also lists the same sequence under 1 other name.
GAUUUAUAAAGAAGUGGCGAGAGAUCAGGCUCAUUAACCCACUGGCAACCCUCCUAAACGGGAGAAGGUGCCAAAUCCUGGCCCGGCGAAAUGGAUUGCCGGGGAAUAUAAAUG